AGCUAUUGAACUUGUAUAAGUAUAUAUUUUGAAAGUAUAAAAAAGAAAAAAAAUUUUCUAAUAGCUU
This 67-nucleotide transfer RNA is filed under the name Anisandrus dispar. Its description in RNAcentral is "tRNA-Ser". The record is from RNAcentral. Lineage: Eukaryota; Metazoa; Arthropoda; Insecta; Coleoptera; Curculionidae.